UACGUAGGGGGCAAGCGUUGUCCGGAAUUAUUGGGCGUAAAGAGCUCGUAGGCGGCCUGUUGCGUCCGCUGUGAAAUCCCGGGGCUCAACCCCGGGCCUGCAGUGGAUACGGGCUGGCUAGAGGCAGGCAGGGGAGAACGGAAUUCCUGGUGUAGCGGUGAAAUGCGCAGAUAUCUGGAGGAACACCGGUGGCGAAGGCGGCAUCCUGGACCGGGCAUUGACGCUGAGGCGCGAAAGCCAGGGGAGCAAAGCGGG
RNAcentral lists this ribosomal RNA (255 nucleotides) under uncultured bacterium. Its description in RNAcentral is "partial 16S ribosomal RNA". It matches the Rfam family "Bacterial small subunit ribosomal RNA", at positions 524 to 777 of the family's 1533-position model. The record is from RNAcentral.